RNAcentral lists this ribosomal RNA (315 nucleotides) under uncultured eukaryote. RNAcentral's name for it is "partial 18S ribosomal RNA". It matches the Rfam family "Eukaryotic small subunit ribosomal RNA", at positions 1470 to 1796 of the family's 1831-position model. The record is from RNAcentral.
CCCUUAGACGUUCUGGGCCGCACGCGCGCUACACUGACCAGUGCAACAAGCAUCCGUCCUUGGCCGACAGGCCCGGGCAAUCUUUGAACGCUGGUCGUGAUGGGGAUAGACUUUUGCAAUUUUUGGUCUUCAACGAGGAAUUCCUAGUAAACGCAAGUCAUCAACUUGCAUUGAUUACGUCCCUGCCCUUUGUAUACACCGCCCGUCGCACCUACCGAUUGAAUGGUCCGGUGAAGCCUCCGGAUUGGCGCGCACCUCGGUGCCGCCGAGAAGUUGGCUAAACCUUACCAUUUAGAGGAAGGUGAAGUCGUAACA